This 1040-nucleotide long non-coding RNA is filed under the name Citrus sinensis (sweet orange). RNAcentral's name for it is "long non-coding RNA (CSIN_LNC002710)". The record is from RNAcentral. Lineage: Eukaryota; Viridiplantae; Streptophyta; Magnoliopsida; Sapindales; Rutaceae.
UCAGCUUGUUAUUCUACCCAGAAUGGGGCAGCGCAGUGACACGGCCCUAGUCCACAAUUUAGAGCAAAAGCUGGAGGCAGUUUUGAACAUUUACGAGCAGAGGCUAUCUAAAAGCAACUACCUUGCUGGGGACAGCUUCACAUUGGCUGAUCUGAGUCACCUACCAGCCUUAAGAUAUCUGAUGAACGAAGCUGGAAUGGCCCAUUUGGUUACACAGAGGAAGCAUGUUAAUGCUUGGUGGGACAAAAUUUCUAGCCGCCCGGCUUGGAAGAAACUAGCGAGUCUUGCUCAUUAACUAAUUUUUAGUGUGUUAUUGCACUAUUGUUGCUAAAUUACUUUUCUUAUCGGUCAUUGUUUUUGUUAUUUCGGCUGGCUGUCAUUACUGUUAUCUUCAAGAACCAUAAAUGAAAAUAAAAUGUUGCUGAAGUUCACUAGCUAAGUGCUGAUUAUUUUAAUAUUUUGUGACUCAGAUUGACUGUCGGAUUGCCACUUCUCCGGUUAUAUUUUUGGCUUUCAACAUUCAUCCUCUCAUAGUUAUCAUAAUAAUCGGCUACCAUCUCAACAAUAAAUCUUUAACAAAAAUGAAAAAAAAAAAAUUAUUUUGCGUCUGAGAUUGAUUUUUAUAUAAAAGUUUGGAAGUUGAAAGCGAGUAAGUACUAUGAAGACUACACAUGCACUCUUAUUUUCUUAAUGACUGAGAUUAAAUAGUAUGUUAAUUCCAAGAGCGAACCCAUCGAUAAUUGCAAUGGCAGUACAUCUUGACGGGUACAAAAAGAUUUUCCCUUCCGGAUAUAAAAUUUAGAAAACACCAUUAUAAAUACGUUGAUAGGCUUGUCUUUACAUUAUGAUUAUACUGUUACAGGGUUACUUGUACAGGCAAUUCAUACAAACUCUUGUAUGCAUUAUGGCUUGACAAAUUUAUAUGGUUACCACACCCUCCGUUCUCAUUAUUGAGUUUUGCGUUUUUUACUAUUUCACUUCGUUAAUCUUGGAGGAUUAAUUUUAUACGGGCCACAUUGUUGCACGGUAUAAUCUUGGGA